RNAcentral lists this ribosomal RNA (337 nucleotides) under uncultured bacterium. RNAcentral's name for it is "bacterial SSU rRNA". It matches the Rfam family "Bacterial small subunit ribosomal RNA", at positions 30 to 371 of the family's 1533-position model. The record is from RNAcentral.
AUUGAACGCUGGCGGAAUGCUUUACACAUGCAAGUCGAACGGUAGAGGGGGGCAACCCCUUGAGAGUGGCGAACGGGUGAGUAAUAUAUCGGAACGUGCCCAGUCGUGGGGAUAACGUAGCGAAAGUUACGCUAAUACCGCAUACGAUCUAAGGAUGAAAGCGGGGGAUCGCAAGACCUCGCGCGAUUGGAGCGGCCGAUAUCAGAUUAGGUAGUUGGUGGGGUAAAGGCUCACCAAGCCAACGAUCUGUAGCUGGUCUGAGAGGACGACCAGCCACACUGGAACUGAGACACGGUCCAGACUCCUACGGGAGGCAGCAGUGGGGAAUAUUGGACAA